RNAcentral lists this ribosomal RNA (274 nucleotides) under uncultured bacterium. Its description in RNAcentral is "partial 16S ribosomal RNA". It matches the Rfam family "Archaeal small subunit ribosomal RNA", at positions 473 to 747 of the family's 1478-position model. The record is from RNAcentral.
AAACCAGCACCUCAAGUGGUCAGGAUGAUUAUUGGGCCUAAAGCAUCCGUAGCCUGCUCUGUAAGUUUUCGGUUAAAUCUGUACGCUCAACGUACAGGCUGCCGGGAAUACUGCAGAGCUAGGGAGUGGGAGAGGUAGACGGUACUCGGGAGGAAGUGGUAAAAUGCUUUGAUCUCUCGAUGACCACCUGUGGCGAAGGCGGUCUACCAGAACACGACCGACGGUGAGGGAUGAAAGCUGGGGGAGCAAACCGGAUUAGAAACCCCAGUAGUCC